Molecule: ribosomal RNA, 253 nt
Filed under: uncultured bacterium
Lineage: Bacteria
Description: partial 16S ribosomal RNA
Rfam family: Bacterial small subunit ribosomal RNA
Source: RNAcentral
UACGUAGGGUGCAAGCGUUAAUCGGAAUUACUGGGCGUAAAGGGCGCGUAGGCGGCCGAUCAAGUCGGGGGUGAAAGCCUGUGGCUCAACCACAGAAUUGCCUUCGAUACUGUUUGGCUUGAGACCGGAAGAGGUUAGUGGAACUGCGAGUGUAGAGGUGAAAUUCGUAGAUAUUCGCAAGAACACCAGUGGCGAAGGCGGCUGACUGGUCCGGUUCUGACGCUGAGGCGCGAAAGCGUGGGGAGCAAACAGG